GUGGGUAGUUUGACUGGGGCGGUCUCCUCCUAAAGAGUAACGGAGGAGCACGAAGGUUGGCUAAUCCUGGUCGGACAUCAGGAGGUUAGUGCAAUGGCAUAAGCCAGCUUGACUGCGAGCGUGACGGCGCGAGCAGGUGCGAAAGCAGGUCAUAGUGAUCCGGUGGUUCUGAAUGGAAGGGCCAUCGCUCAACGGAUAAAAGGUACUCCGGGGAUAACAGGCUGAUACCGCCCAAGAGUUCAUAUCGACGGCGGUGUUUGGCACCUCGAUGUCGGCUCAUCACAUCCUGGGGCUGAAGUAGGUCCCAAGGGUAUGGCUGUUCGCCAUUUAAAGUGGUACGCGAGCUGGGUUUAGAACGUCGUGAGACAGUUCGGUCCCUAUCUGCCGUGGGCGCUGGAGAACUGAGGGGGGCUGCUCCUAGUACGAGAGGACCGGAGUGGACGCAUCACUGGUGUUCGGGUUGUCAUGCCAAUGGCACUGCCCGGUAGCUAAAUGCGGAAGAGAUAAGUGCUGAAAGCAUCUAAGCACGAAACUUGCCCCGAGAUGAGUUCUCCCUGAGACUUAAAGUCUCCUGAAGGAACGUUGAAGACGACGACGUUGAUAGGCCGGGUGUGUAAGCGCAGCGAUGCGUUGAG
RNAcentral lists this ribosomal RNA (635 nucleotides) under Salmonella enterica subsp. enterica serovar Emek. RNAcentral describes it as "partial 23S ribosomal RNA". It matches the Rfam family "Bacterial large subunit ribosomal RNA", at positions 2261 to 2890 of the family's 2925-position model. The record is from RNAcentral. Lineage: Bacteria; Pseudomonadati; Pseudomonadota; Gammaproteobacteria; Enterobacterales; Enterobacteriaceae.